Molecule: transfer RNA, 73 nt
Filed under: Ipomoea nil (Japanese morning glory)
Lineage: Eukaryota; Viridiplantae; Streptophyta; Magnoliopsida; Solanales; Convolvulaceae
Rfam family: tRNA
About the family: Transfer RNA (tRNA) molecules are approximately 80 nucleotides in length. Their secondary structure includes four short double-helical elements and three loops (D, anti-codon, and T loops).
Source: Rfam by way of RNAcentral
GACUCCAUGGCCCAAUGGAUAAGGUGCUGGUCUAAGAAACCAGAGAUUUUAGGUUCGAUCCCCAGUGGAGUCG